This 667-nucleotide long non-coding RNA is filed under the name Rattus norvegicus (Norway rat). RNAcentral describes it as "long non-coding RNA NONRATT018122". Lineage: Eukaryota; Metazoa; Chordata; Mammalia; Rodentia; Muridae. The record is from RNAcentral.
CUGGUCAGACUUGGCUUAUCUUGAAACCAUUAUCCCUGGAAAUAGCUAUUUCAUUAUGACACUGUUAGCCUGUUCCCUGUCAGGAAACAAUGGCUGUUAAGUUUGACUGUUCUUCUCCUCUUAGGGAAUGGCAAUGCUCUGUGAAACGAUAGAAGAAUGCUGGGAUCAUGAUGCAGAAGCCAGGUUAUCAGCUGGAUGUGUAGGUGAAAGAAUUACUCAGAUGCAAAGACUAACAAAUAUAAUUACUACAGAGGACAUUGUAACAGUGGUCACAAUGGUGACAAAUGUUGACUUUCCUCCCAAAGAAUCUAGUCUAUGAUGGUUGCACCAUCUGUCCACACUGAGAAUCGGGACUCUGAACUGGAGCUGCUAAGCUAAGGAAACUGCUUAGUUUAUUUUCUGUGUGAAAUGAGUAGGGUGCCUCCGGGACACGUAUGCAAGCAGCCCCUUGUGGAAAGCAUGGAUUGGGAGACUUCCUGCAGCGUCUGCAACACGGAUAUGAAGGGGGUCUAAGGGGAAACUGCGAACUGUAAAGAACUUCUGAAAACUUACACGAAGAAUGUGGCCCUCUCCAAAUCAAGGAUCUUUUGGACCUGGCUAAUCAAGUAUUUGAAAACUGACAUCAGAUUUCUUAAUGUCUGUCAGAAGACACUAAUUCCUUAAAUGA